AUUGAACGCUGGCGGCAUGCUUUACACAUGCAAGUCGAACGGUAACAGGGUGCUUGCACCGCUGACGAGUGGCGAACGGGUGAGUAAUGCGUCGGAACGUGCCGAGUAGUGGGGGAUAACGCAGCGAAAGUUGUGCUAAUACCGCAUACGUACUGAGGUAGAAAGUGGGGGACCUUCGGGCCUCACGCUAUUCGAGCGGCCGACGUCUGAUUAGCUAGUAGGUGAGGUAAAGGCUCACCUAGGCGACGAUCAGUAGCGGGUCUGAGAGGAUGAUCCGCCACACUGGGACUGAGACACGGCCCAGACUCCUACGGGAGGCAGCAGCGGGGAAUUUUGGACAAUGGGCGAAAGCCUGAUCCAGCCAUGCCGCGUGUCUGAAGAAGGCCUUCGGGUUGUAAAGGACUUUUGUCAGGGAGGAAAUCCCUAGUGCUAAUAACACUGGGGGAUGACAGUACCUGAAGAAUAUGCACCGGCUAACUACGUGCCAGCCGCCGCGGUAA
RNAcentral lists this ribosomal RNA (500 nucleotides) under uncultured bacterium. Its description in RNAcentral is "partial 16S ribosomal RNA". It matches the Rfam family "Bacterial small subunit ribosomal RNA", at positions 30 to 523 of the family's 1533-position model. The record is from RNAcentral.